RNAcentral lists this long non-coding RNA (375 nucleotides) under Brassica napus (rape). Its description in RNAcentral is "long non-coding RNA (BNAP_LNC020498)". Lineage: Eukaryota; Viridiplantae; Streptophyta; Magnoliopsida; Brassicales; Brassicaceae. The record is from RNAcentral.
GUUCGACCAAACAGAAGCCGGGUCAACCGGGAUUCGAUCAAAUUGCUUAAAAUCGAAUCAAAAAUCAUUCACACAUACUUGGCGGCUAGAUUAGGGUUUUACCUUUAUUAUCUUGCCGUGUUGUAUCUUUCCGGUAAAGCUCUUCGAGCUCCUGCACCCUUUCCUUUACACAUUUUCUUUCCUUGUAACCGACGAAACGCUUUUCUGACCAUCAAUAAGACGUCUUUGCUUAAUCCACAUUUAAAACCGAACGUUCCCUCGUUUAGUACCGUUUCCCGAUCAAACAUAUAAGAGUGUUUGUGCUCGAUUACUAAUAAGGUGCACAUGGGACUCUAUCUCUAGAUUUUAGUCUAUGGAAAAAUAAAACUCGUUAAU